Molecule: long non-coding RNA, 996 nt
Organism: Motacilla alba alba
Lineage: Eukaryota; Metazoa; Chordata; Aves; Passeriformes; Motacillidae
Exons: 3
Source: RefSeq, a predicted model, not a curated record
CUGCAGGGUCCAAGACUAGCUACAAUAAACGGUAAAAACCAAAGCAAAAGCCCUAGAACAGGAAAAAUACUGUGAUAGAAACGUGGUUUUGGCUUUCAAGGAAAGAGGUACUUGACUAGCAUUGUAGCUCGGAUAUUUUGCCCUUGUCCAAGCCUUACUUUUCUGCUCGAUCCCUGAUGACGGAAAAGCUGAGCUCUGGAGACUCACUGCGGGCACAGAGGAAGGGCUGGGAGCCUGGGCCACCCUCUGGGGGCAAAGAUCCUUCCAAGUGACCUGGUGGGAGCCGGGAGGGGUGUAAUCCUGCGAGUGUUUGAUCCGGUGGCUUUGCUCACACCACGGAGGUAACUCGUGCGUUAAAAGCUGAAAUUCAGUAGAAGCUGAUGAAACCACCAUGGAGAAAUGCUGGUUCACCACACUGGCUAGCACCAGCUUGGUCUGGCUCCAGCUCCGGGAUGUGCAGCCUACAGACACAGGAAUGAAAAGAAAUAUUCUAAAAAGGAUGAGUCAGCUGGAGGCCAGUGGGGAGAGCGUGCAGGAUCUGACUGGAAUUUAAAAAGUUAUGAGGCUCCACGUUGUUUUGAGCCCUGCCAGCGGAGAAACUCAAACAUGGGAAACGCUUUGUCAUCUGGCAUAAUUAUGUCACUUUGCUGAUUAGCUGGUAAACUCUUUUCAAAAUGCUUUUAGACAAUAGUAAGUUCAUGAAAUAGGAAAACUUCCUGCUGACACCACCGACAAGGGCCUGCUUUACAUGUUAUUGAAAACUGCCUUCCCUAGAACCCCACCAGACUGUGGGACAGACAUGAAAACGGUUUUUUUUAGUAUGUAUUAGAUGACUUACCCAUUAAAACAGUUGAGGUAUCUUCACACCUUCACUUCUGUGCUGUAAGCUGGAUGUGAGCUGUGAGUACACCCACACUGGUAGUGCAGCUGAUGCCUCAGCUUUCAGCUUUUCUAUUUUUCAGAUUCUGUGCUGCUCUAGUGUGUGGGUCUGAGCUU